This 651-nucleotide long non-coding RNA is filed under the name Carica papaya (papaya). RNAcentral's name for it is "long non-coding RNA (CPAP_LNC015099)". Lineage: Eukaryota; Viridiplantae; Streptophyta; Magnoliopsida; Brassicales; Caricaceae. The record is from RNAcentral.
GGUGCGGCGGCGGGUGGCGGCGGUCGGCUUCUGGUUCAUCUUCUCCGGCGAGGGCAGGCGGCUAGGGUUUGUGGUCUGGUGUGGGGAUCUUAUUUAUACCAUUUUGCCUUUUGAUCUCAGCCGUCCAUUUUGAUUUAAUCUAGGCCGUCCGUUUUUGAUUGAAUCUGGGCCGUCCGUGCGAUUGCAUCUGGGCCGUCCGAUCGCACGUUCGAUCUGGGUCGUCCGAUCGCGCAUACGCGGAUCGCCAACGUGGCCCGUCCGGGAUCGACGUGGUCUUGCCACGUGGCAGGUCCCGGUUGGCCGGGACUGCUGACUGGGUCUGCUGACGUGGCCCCCCCCUUUUUUUUUCUCUUCUUCUUCAAUUUCCCGGGCGCUACAAUGUGAAUUGGCAAACGGAUAAUGUGGACAGUCUGACUAGGUAUCCUGAGAUAUGGUGGACGGACCGGAUCCGUAGGGAACCCUACCGAGAACAUGGUCUCUCAUACCGGACGGGGUAUGGAGACCUUAUGUGUUUUGGUGCCCAUACCGGACGGGGUAUGGGGACGGCCCGUUUCACCCUCAUACCGGACAGGGUAUUGAGGUUCAUGGUUUUGGCGCCCAUACCGGACGGGGUAUGGGGACGGCCCUAGAAUCAGGUUAUAAAUGUUAAGG